This 274-nucleotide ribosomal RNA is filed under the name uncultured bacterium. RNAcentral's name for it is "partial 16S ribosomal RNA". It matches the Rfam family "Bacterial small subunit ribosomal RNA", at positions 523 to 796 of the family's 1533-position model. The record is from RNAcentral.
AUACGGAGGGGACUAGCGUUGUUCGGAAUUACUGGGCGUAAAGAGUACGUAGGCGGUCUAUCAAGUUGGGUGUGAAAGCCCGGGGCUCAACCCCGGAACUGCACUCAAAACUGAUAAACUAGAGAUCGGAAGAGGUAAGUGGAAUUCCCAGUGUAGAGGUGAAAUUCGUAGAUAUUGGGAAGAACACCAGUGGCGAAGGCGGCUUACUGGUCCGAGACUGACGCUGAGGUACGAGAGCGUGGGGAGCAAACAGGAUUAGAAACCCCAGUAGUCC